ACUUAAUAGUAACUCUGUACCAAAUACAGUAGUUCUGGGGUCAGAGGGGACUGGGGCCCACUAGGGGGCCUCAGCAAACUUCUAAAAGAGCCACAACAUGACUUAAAUAAUAUAAUUUAAAAACAUUAUAACUUAAUUACAAUGCCACAACAACUAAAAUGUUUAUAUCAAACAUAUAAAGUGACUUUUUUAUUGAUAGAUGUACGCAAAAUUAACCACAGCAAAUUAUUUUAGUCUAUUAAUAUUCCAUCCAUUGUAACCACCUCCAAAAUAAUAUAGUUACGAGUGUAAUUAUUGUUAAAUCACAUCCUCCAGUCGUGAAUAUGUGGCUACAAGCUUAAAUAUAUGAGUAAGAGUAUUCCGAAUACAUUACAGGGCUUUAUAACUCAAUAAAUUUUCUUCACCAUAAUUCAAUUGAUGAUAAAAAUGAAUUAUAAUAAUGUAAUAUCUUUAUUAAACAACAAUUUGUUACUCUGGGAAAUCUAUCUCUAUCAUAUCAGUAUACAUUCACAUACACAUCUGAACAUAUACAUUAGUAUAUAACCACUUUUAUCUGUCAUUGGGCAAAUUGUGCAUAAACGUAAAGCAUACAGUUUUGUAUAUAUGUACUCACUUUCAAAUACUAUACUUAUUUUUCCAGUCUUCAGUGAUGAACAGUCUCAUAUAUAGAUCUACAGUAAGGCUCAACAUAUUAUUUUUUUUUUCUCAAUAUGAUAUUCCCUUUUUCACCUAAAAACCAAGGUUUACAAAAACAACCAUAGCACCAUAUGUCGUCAGUAUUAGUAAUAUUUUCCCCAAAAAUAAGGUCUAAUGCAUUACUAGACAUCAGGUUUGUUCUCAAAUAAUGGCAAUCAAACAAAACAAUUUACUUUCAUUUGUAUUUGACAACAUCAAAUAAAUCUUUUUUUUCCCAACAUAAGUAAUGAGUACAGUCAGUUAAGAAAAAAAGAAACGUUACAGAUAGUAGCAAAUAAUUUGCUUAAUAAUUUUGUGCCUUCUUUCUUUAAUACCCCAUGUGAGAAAUACAAUGACGAUCUAACACAAUCUGUUUCACAGGUGAUUUACCCAUCUCCAACAGCAUGGAUAACAACUCUAAAAAUCAGCAGCAAUUCAUCUGACAACCAUAAUCAAUCAUAAGAUUAUUUUUCCAACAAAAUAUACAGCCAGCUCUACAAUAACAGAAGAAAUACACAUAGGUUUAGGACAUAGAGAUGACAGGAAUAUACAGCACGGCAAUCACCUUCUAUAUGUUUUUAGCGAUCCCUUUUUAUCAGAAGUACUUUUAGGCCUGUGGAUGAAUGUCAAAAUGAUGCAUUUUCAUCUUUUUUUCUCUUAUGAGAAAUCCUAGUGCAGAUUUUAAACACCUAAACAUUUUUUUUUAAACAAAUAUACACAAAAAUGAACAGAAAUUUGGGGAAGAAGUAAAAAAAAUUAAGAUAUUUGCUGCACCAAUGCUUCUUUGUGCAGGUUGAAACAUAAUAAAUGGCACCAUAUUUCAAAGAGAGAUGUUUGGCUGUAAACUGUGUUGAGGUGCUUGUUCUUCCAGAGAGGAAAGUGUCCGUGAGCUUAAAGAGGCAGGUCUAUCGGAUGGUGGCCUUGCUUAGUGAGCCACGACAGGGGUCCUGCAGUCCACAUUCGUGGUAGCACCUUAAGAAUAUGUUGAUAAGCACCAGGUCAAGAAACAAAAAUGCACCGUUUUGUGGUCGUUUUGUCAUCAGAACAUUUGGCUCUAUUUCAAUACUGAUCAUUGCAGAACCACUGUGGAUUUGAUGAGCAUAUGUAGAUGCUCUGGAGCGAUGGGUGGGACGUUGCAUUGAAGAAAGCAUGCAAGUGUGUUGGAGGGGUCACCAUAGGAUGCAUUUUGUGGGCAUGCUAAAAAUCCAAAGGAUGUAGAAGCAGUCUGAAGAUGGUUCACCACUAGAGGCCGUUAAAAAUGUGUCCAAUGCCAUCUCAGAUUUAAGUUAAAAUAUUCGAUCCAGUGAGCACCAUAUUUACGUACCCCACUUUUUCUAUUCUUAUUGGUCUACACACAUUUUUUUCUUUUUUUCUUCUUUUUUUUUUUUUGCAGGCAUAAAUCCAUUUGGCUAGACAUUUUUGUUCACAAGACAAACGACAGAGAGAAAAGAUUAACUUGUUGGCACUACAGCUCAUUCGUUUUGCAAGACAGAGGAAGGCAUAGACAGAAGUACAUUAACAAUCAUUAAAGAAAUUGCUAACUUCAUCAUAACUGUCAUUUAGUACCCAAACAAACCAAUUAAAUCUCUUUCCUUUUUCGCAUCUGCUCAUAAAAGCCUUGUGAAUGUUUGAAUGGAACCGGUCUUCUUCAGGAAUUAAAACCCAACAUUCAAGUAGGCUAGAUGUUAAGUAUUGCCUUUCAGACAUAAUACGCAGAUUUAGAUUCACUUCCUGCGCGGGUAUGGGACAAAAUUGACUGGCUUGUUACAGUACUGAGUGAAAUAUGAAUGGAGAUAGAGACACUGGCAUUGUUGUUUGCUGCACUGGCUGCCAUGGCUAUACAGAAGCACCCAAAAAGACAAGGCACCACAAAGAAUCAGAUAUUAGAGACUGGUCCCGCUCACCCACCCCACCCUCGACGAAGUGGUGGCAUGACUUUAACAUCGACUAAUCUGUUGUGUAACUUCUUUGACUAGUAAGGCGGUAAUCUAAAACAAACCAAUUCGGAAUUAUACGUGUGCUGUACGGGGUAGGAUUUGUUUCAAAUCUCUCCCUGUGUCUGCUCAAACGUGGCAAUGUUGGUCACUACACAUCAUGCUAAUGCGCAAGUAGAAUAAUAGAAGAAAAUAUCACAGUGUAGUUGAAAAUAUCACCUGGUCUGUCUUACCUCAAGUGCGUUAGUAGAAACCGAAUCUGUAAUUGGACUAUGAACGUAUGACUAAAUACCACACUCUAAAAAGAUGCUGGGUUAUUUUUAAAUAUUUUUAUUUUUAAUAUUUUUACCCAGGUGCUGGGUCAUUUUUACUGUCAAUACAAAUGAUGAACCCCCUAAAAUAUCUACCCAGCGCUAGGUCAAUGUAGCCCAAUGUUGGGUAGUCUGUGCCAAACCGGUUAAAACUGGAUAUUGUCAACGGCCAUUUUUUGUUCUGAGAGAAAACUUCCCGAGGGGAAACUUCUUGAAUGAAAUUAAGGUUUGUAUUACAUUGUAUUCCUAUCAAAUUAUUACCGUAUAAAUAGGAAAAAGUCUGUAGUCUCACAUUUUACCUUUGUUUACAUGUACGUCGCAGCUAACGCUAGGCUUCUACAAUACACCGGAUCUACACUCAAAGCGAACGACGCGCCGGCGCCACCAUUAACGCUUCACCUCCGUCAAACGAAUGCGCGACUAGGGCUGAAACACGACGCGACAUCGCUGUCAUAUAAAACGAAUUUGUUGUGCUGUAAUAUAGUGACAACAAUAGGAGCGCUAUAGAUCUAGUGCGCUAGCGUUGCAGCUGCGGUCGCGCUAUGCGUUUGUAUGACAGACGAGAUGGCACAACAAGAUUACCACUGGCUGCUGCUCCCGCUGUCCUAAACCCUUUACUAAAUGUUUUUUUGAGUGUUUUAUGAUUGUAAAAGACUGACUUUGAAUAAAAAAUAUUGUAUGUAAACUGCUUCUGUCUUACAUAUAUAACAGAGAUUUUGGGGUGCAGUUUUAUUAUUUAAAAUGAAAAACCUUUGAUAUCAUGUUGACUAACCCAGCACUGUCAAAAAACAACCCAGCAAAUGGGUUAAUGUAUAAAACCCAACAUGCUGGGUCAAAUAUUUACCCAGCGCUGGGUUGCCAAAUAACCCAGAAAUGGUUGUUUUUAACCCAGCAUUUUUUAGAGUGCAGGCAGCCGAGUCACGCAACAACAAGUUAAACGCGUAAAAACAAGUUAAAGUAGUCGUACACAUCAUAACAUAACAGGGUUGGUGCAUAUCCCAGCAAACAACAGUGCAUCAAUGUGCCAAGCACCUAAAGGAUUGGAAUAUCGGUGACUGUUACAGGCACUGUAAGGGAAUAGGGAACAGGAAACAGAAACAUUUCUUAGUUUCAACUGAAAACCUGAUAUUGCGAAGGAUUACGGAAUUUUGAUGUUUCGGAAUUGCAUGAAAUCGCCUGCCCAUCCCUGAUUCCCUUUGGCCAGGUUAUAAAUCCAAGUUGUUAAGCAAGUUUUUGCAUCCGAGUAUCCCAGAUAACACUCGCAUGAGAGGGGUGGAGGGGUCUGAGCAGCAACCAAGGAUGGAGCUGAAGAGGUAAGACCUACAAACCAAAGUCACACACACAUACACACGAAUGCACACUCUCAC
This is a long non-coding RNA of Ctenopharyngodon idella (grass carp), 4287 nucleotides long. RefSeq lists it as uncharacterized. Lineage: Eukaryota; Metazoa; Chordata; Actinopteri; Cypriniformes; Xenocyprididae. The transcript has 2 exons. The record is from RefSeq and is a predicted model, not a curated record.